Girardinichthys multiradiatus is the source of this 738-nucleotide long non-coding RNA. RefSeq lists it as uncharacterized. The transcript is spliced from 6 exons. The record is from RefSeq and is a predicted model, not a curated record. Lineage: Eukaryota; Metazoa; Chordata; Actinopteri; Cyprinodontiformes; Goodeidae.
AGACUGCCCAUCCUCUUCUUAAGUAAGAGUUGUUUAGAGAAUUGUCAAACAGACCACAGUGUCUCAUCAGAUCUUCAUGGAAGUCCAGUAGCUGCUCCCGGAUGUAUUCUGGACAGGGACAGUCCUGCUUGUCAUCCUUGAAGUUCAGCAGCAUGUUGAUCUAGAAGAAUAAUAUGGAGUGAGCGCAGCAGACAUGUUGAGAGCCAGCAUCACCUCAUUGUAGCGAAAGCGCUGGUUGUCUUGGAGGCAAGCCACAAAGUCAUCGGAGAAGGCCACCACCGCCUCGAUACGAUGGCGCACCUGGCAGUCACACAGCUCCAGGAUAUCCACCGAUCUGGGAUGCAAACAGAGACCAAAUUAAUAAGAACUGACAGACUGGGAGCAUGGACAUCCGAGGGUGUUUAAAUAUGGACUCUCCACCUGUUCUCUUCAGCUGUGAAAGUGAGCAGACCAUUUGAUGUGUCGACCAGACAGCCGAUCUCCAGGCCGUUGUUGUUCCUGCUCUGUGUUGGGCUGCUGUUCUCUCCGGCCCACACCAUGUAACAGUUACUGCGCUUAAUGCUGUGAGACAUUUAUCAGGAGAAGGAGUUUUAGAUGAGCAUCAGGGUGACUGUGACAGUCCGGACCUUGCUCAGCUCAAAGCUGGGGUCAUACUGAUGGAAGUCAGAGGUUACCCAGCCGACCCACACGCUGCUGGGCUCCUGACCCGGGAAGAUCCGCACUGAGUAGUAGUACUGC